This is a long non-coding RNA of Oncorhynchus nerka (sockeye salmon), 5052 nucleotides long. RefSeq lists it as uncharacterized. NCBI's taxonomy places the organism in Eukaryota, Metazoa, Chordata, Actinopteri, Salmoniformes, Salmonidae. The record is from RefSeq and is a predicted model, not a curated record. The transcript is spliced from 2 exons.
UUCCCUUUUACCACCCUCACUGCCUCACAGUCUGUCUCCUAGAAAAGAAAUAAGGUGUUUGCCGUACUCCUAACUACCAGUACCCAAAACUACACAAUUAAUCACAACAUAAAUACCAUUGCCUUAAACAAAUCUUAGUUCAGUCACCAGUUUAAGUUGAGAGUGGGGGUAUCCAUGGCAUUUUCCAACUAUGUCCCUAUUUUACAAGUCAAAAAAAGGUAGAACCUUUUAUAAUGUUGCCAAACAAAGACUCAACAAACUUACCUGAGACUCCCUGUCUCUGCCAGUCUGUCCCUGCCCAUCUGUCCCCAGCUCUGCUGUCUGUGUGCCCUCUGUUGCCUGAUCUGCCUAAUGACAUCAUUGUGAAACGUUACCAUUAGCAUUUCACUUCUUUCUAAUGAACAUUUUAUCAACUAGUCUUAGGCUACUAGGGUUCUUGUUUUGCGUUUUGGUGUACUGAAAAAUAAUCUGAUGUCUGUCUUUUUACUUUUUUCUGACAUUUUUCUACCUGGCAGGCUGGCUAUCUGCGCAAACACACACACAGUGUGUAGGUUAUUUACAGUAGGAGAUGGGCUUAUAUCAUCUUAUCUUCUAUCAUUCUAUAUGGACUUCGAUCUAAAAGGUAGCUAGCAAAUGUGAAACGGAUUGCAGUGACAAGAGUUGACAGCUGUAUGAGUUCAUGAGUUCACCAUUUACACAACAUAUGCUGCAACCUUUUGUAAUUUUAAUAGUUUGUUUCAUAUUGGCUGGCUUCUGUAGUAUAUCAUAACAUAUAUUAUUUACUCAUAGCCUAGCAGAGUGGCCUGGAACCAUAUAACUAAAACACAUCCCAUGACUGAGACUUAGGGGGCGAUUACUCAAACAUACUUCUGCAUUAACCCAGACACAUUCUGUCCAGGUCAAAAGCACAUUCUAACCACAAACCAACUGUAAAGCACCAAACACAAUGGUCGAACUGAAGUUAUCACAUAAAUCCCCACCAAGGCAGGGAAACUCCCUAGCCUAAAGCACCAACGCUUAGUCCCAGUUCCCCCUAUCGCCCCCUAACUCAUGGCCUCUUGACACAUAUCUUGACACACACAUUGACACGCACGUACAGUAUAGCGCACGAACACACACACCCCACACUCAUUUCAACUGACAUCCCUGGACACACAAACCCCUUCUUGGACCACAGUCAGUUCCAGUUCCCCUUUUCUCAACCCCUUGACACACACAGACACACAGACAUCUCAACGCACACACACCCCACACUCAAGUCAACUGAGCUGGGGCCAGGAUCAGACAACUUCAAGAAGCACCAAUGGGGCACUGGCAAAGGGUCGGACAGGACCUGCCUCCAACUUCCACCAACCAGUCGGAUGACAGAACUACAAGAAUCAACAUACGUCAUUCUGUGUUUAAAUACCUUUGCACACUCUGUUUAGGGAUCCUUUUUCAGCUGACUCCUUCUGAGCCAAAUGAGAGGAUCCGUGCACGCUUUGUAUCAGAUAUCUUUACCUUUAAUAAACCUGCCUUGAAUCAUACCAUAUCCACCUGGUCCAGCGUCUCAACUUGGUCUCUCUCCUCUAGUAACAGUACGUCAAUCAAACAUGGUAGCAGAGGAUGGUUGAUAUAAACACCUAAAUUCGGUCCAAAAGAGGUUGAUGAGAGGAGAGGCGAGUUGGAGGCACAAUCCAGAGGGACGGGUGACCUGCAAAGGAGCCGCCGGGGAUUCAUCUCACCUCAGGAACCUGAUCUAAAAAAGUCGACUAAACAAAGGAUUUUAUGCAUUACAGGUGAACUACAGGUGAAGUCACUCAAUCCAGUCCCAGAGGCUUGGGGACCAUAGAAGACCCCUGGUGACAGCUAGCUGAAAGAGCUACCCAGAUUCAUAUCGCACGGCGGGUGGGUAAGACACGUUUUCACUGUCGGACAAUAAACAGAGUUCGGGAGAAGAACUGGAAUUAACAGAAUUCCGGGGGCCAACUCUCGAAUGAAGUAACCCUACCUGUCCUAUCACCCCUGUUUUUGUUCAUAGAAGUGAGGAUGUGUCUGGCUCUGGCUAUGUGAUGUGUAUUUUGUUCCAAAAUAAGCAUAAGAGAUCCCUAGAUCUGGGUAGACAGGAAGUUAGAGUAGAGAUUACAUGAUAACCGACUUCGGACAGUUCUAGGAUUAGAGAAGAGGGUAUCCUUAUAGCAUAGGGGAUCCCACAAAGGUGGAUAGGUUUUCCAUGAUAUGGGGAAACCUGGGAGCAAUGUUGAACUUUGUAAAGGUGAUGAAAUCCUACUAACCAUAAAAAUAUUAAGCUCUCUGAUGCAGGCACUCACACCCUCGGACUACAAAGGACGAGGACAGACAUGAUGGGUGUGUUUUCUAUUAAGGUACUGCCAAGACCAGAGGUAACCGGACACACUCCUCUACCACCACUGUGUUAAAAAUACCAUUCAGGUAAUUAAUGUUAGAGACUAUUCGGCUAUUGAUCAAUUAGGAACUGAGACUGGUUUUGAUAGUAGGGACAAUUUGUGGCUGUCUUAUAUGAGGUACACAGCUAAAACCCUGAGAAGAAAGGACUGUAUUAUUUGUAGUCAUGCUAGACCUGUUCUGGCUACACACCCAUUUGCUGUAGGAGAAGGAGAGGGGUGGUUGUGUAUUCUGAGAAGUUUUUACCAGGUUAAGCCCAAUUCAACCCUCUGUUCCUCUUUGAGCCUUGUGUUUCCUGCAGUACCUCCUCAUCGGGCCUCUUGGGGUGUUGAGGCAUAUGGGGGCAAUUACGAGUGCAUCACGGGUACAGGUAAUGGCAUUGAUUAUGGGAGAUUGCCUGAAGCUGAUUGCAGUAGUAACAUAACCAUUAAUUCCACUUGGCCAGUUACAGGCCUAAACCAAACUAGUGGUCUGGCUGAUGUGUGGAGCCAAAAGAGUGCUGAGACCCAUUCUUAGAGGAGAAUGGCAAGGUACGUGUGGUCUGACCAGUUUGAUAAUUCCACUGACCAUUGUUGAUGUUGCUGCUGAACAGCUGCUGAGUUCUGUAUCCAGGGGACCUGAAAACAUUCCAUCCCAUGGGAGACAUAGAUGUAGUGUUCCAUGGACAGAGGAUGUAGUUGACAUACACACUAACCUGUUGGGAGUGCCAGUGGGGAUUCCUCAUGAGUUUCAGGCCUUGGGUAGGAAUGAUGGACUCUGGCACUUACUACCUACUAUGGGUCUAGCCAUAGUGGAUGCUAGACAGACUGCAUGGAUUAAUUAUAUCUACUAUAAUAAACAGCGUUUUGUGAAUUACUCCCGUGAUGCACUCACUGGUAUGUCUGAACAGUUUGAGGCCACAUUUGGGGUUUCCAGACAGAAUAGACUUGCCUGGGAUAUGCUUCUUGCCAGUCAGGGGGACGUCUGCAAGAUGUUCGGUGAACAAUGUUGCACGUAUAUUCCUAAUAAUACCAGUCCAGAUGGUAGUAUAUCUAAGGCGGGCUUGAUGCACUAUCUGCUAAGAUGAGGUCCACGGGGGGGGGGGGGGGGGUGGAGGAGUCUGUUCUCUUGGCCUGGUUUGGUAAGUACACUGGUAUGAUGGUUACUGGAUUUCUGACCCUAAUUCUUGUAUUAUUUGUUAUUGAUGUGAUGUGCUGCUUGCAUGCUGAGAGGACCAGAUGGUUUCUAAUAAUUCUUUACUCUGUUUUCCAUGACCAAAGUUUUAUCCUACAUCUUACAUGUCAAUAACAAUAAAGUUUUAUCCUGUUUUUGAUAAGUGACACCCUUGUGGGUGACAAGAGGGGGAAAUUAUUUUUCUUUGUGGGCCAUUUCCGUAUAGACUUACCUAGUUUAGGCUAUUUUUCCUUUUGGAUUAUGUUUUCGUUUUUGCUGGGAGUAAUGUAUCUGGACUAUAUCACAUCUCUUAGGAGAUGUGAAGAGAGGGAAUCGCAACUUUUUCCUGCGGGAAAAAGUUGGCUUAUGUGGACAAGCAUUUUACUUUUAUUUUGAGCUGUUGUUCUCCGCUCUGUUAAAUGAGGGUUGUAAGUUCCUAGGUGGCUGGUAGCCAACUUAGUACAUAGUGGGAUUGAAUGGAGAACAUGAUGGUAAUACAUAUAUAUCUAUUUCUGUUUAAUACCGUGCCUUAUUUCAUAGUCCCUUUGGGAGAAGUUUCUCUUUGUGUCUGGAUCUAGUUAGGUUGUGUCACGUCUCUGGUGAGAUGUGAAGAGGGGGAAUCACAAAAUUUGUCCGCUGACAAAUUUUUAGCUUAUGCUCCUAUAUGUUCACAUUUCGCCCUGGAUUAUGUUCACGUCUAGUAGACGUGAAGAGGGGGAUUUGUAGUAUAUCAUAACAUAUAUUAUUUACUCAUAGCCUAGCAGAGUGGCCUGGAACCAUAUAACUAAAACACAUCCCAUGACUGAGACUUAGGGGCGAUUACUCAAACAUACUUCUGCAUUAACCCAGACACAUUCUGUCCAGGUCAAAAGCACAUUCUAACCACAAACCAACUGUAAAGCACCAAACACAAUGGUCGAACUGAAGUUAUCACAUAAAUCCCCACCAAGGCAGGGAAACUCCCUAGCCUAAAGCACCAACGCUUAGUCCCAGUUCCCCCUAUCGCCCCCUAACUCAUGGCCUCUUGACACAUAUCUUGACACACACAUUGACACGCACGUACAGUAUAGCGCACGAACACACACACCCCACACUCAUUUCAACUGACAUCCCUGGACACACAAACCCCUUCUUGGACCACAGUCAGUUCCAGUUCCCCUUUUCUCAACCCCUUGACACACACAGACACACAGACAUCUCAACGCACACACACCCCACACUCAAGUCAACUGAGCUGGGGCCAGGAUCAGACAACUUCAAGAAGCACCAAUGGGGCACUGGCAAAGGGUCGGACAGGACCUGCCUCCAACUUCCACCAACCAGUCGGAUGACAGAACUACAAGAAUCAACAUACGUCAUUCUGUGUUUAAAUACCUUUGCACACUCUGUUUAGGGAUCCUUUUUCAGCUGACUCCUUCUGAGCCAAAUGAGAGGAUCCGUGCACGCUUUGUAUCAGAUAUCUUUACCUUUAAUAAACCUGCCUUGAAUCAUACCAUA